Molecule: non-coding RNA, 2622 nt
Organism: Heterocephalus glaber (naked mole-rat)
Lineage: Eukaryota; Metazoa; Chordata; Mammalia; Rodentia; Bathyergidae
Source: RefSeq, a predicted model, not a curated record
GUCAAGCACUUUUAGCAUUAGGUAGCGAUUUUGUGGAACAAGCCCCAACAGUAAUAAUGUGGUCUGCGGAUUUGUACAUGAGUUACAAGGCAAGUAGGAGCGUUACUCUACUUACCUCUUCUCCUCUUGUGUUCAAGGAGUAACACAGCAGGCUCACAGCCUAGAAAUAAGAAGAGACCUUGGGAUUUGGAGUGGAGAAUUCAAGCAGAGAAAGAGAUGAGACUUUCUGGGCAAGGCAACAUUAAACAUUAAUAAAGACUAUACUAAUAUUUUGAAGCUUGGUAGCUCUCCAGACUCAGUUAGGGGUACUUUAUGAACAUACAGAUUUUGCCCUGGAAAUUUUUAUAAUCAGAAUUUCUAAAGGAGGAGACUUAGGAAUAAGGCCUCCAAGAAGAUUCAGAUGCUCUGCUGGCUUUGAGAAGAUCUGGGUAACCUGAUUGUCAAAUGAGGAUGGCUCCUAAAGAUCCCGAAGCCUGUCAUGGACAGUCAUCACUCACCAAGAUUUUCUGGGACAGUGACUUCUACUCCAUGCUCAUCCAUGAAAUGAACAUCACGUCAUCCCACCCUGAGUCCAAACUGAGCUGAACCUGAAGCCAGUCCCUUAUUUCACCUGCUCUCCAGUGGAGGUGAUGGAUUAUGAUGGGUAUAUGGCAUUGUGGGCCAAUGAAACCGAACCUGAGGAUUUAUAGAGAUGUUGCCAUUCAACAGAGAAUGUCAGAAAUUAGCAAGGAACCCUGCCAAAUAUGCAAGUCAUCAAAACAAACCAAAUAUUACCUCCAGGAAUUUUUCUGUGAAUCAUCAAUGGAUUCAAGACUUGGUUGAAUUCUCCUCUUCUGGACUCCAAUAAUACCUUGUCAGUUUAGUCCUUUAAAGCUUUAGUCUUUUUUCAAAAUUUCAGUUAGUAUUAUAUUCCAGAGAUAGCAGCCAAUGAGUGUAUAUUUCUGAAUUAAAGCAUUCAAUACUGUUGAGUCUAAGAAAUUGUCCCUCCUUAUAGAAAAAGAUCCCAAACAUGAUUUUUAUGUAUCAAAAAUCUGCUUUAUUUUCAAGUUUAUAGAGAAAAAAUAUAUAAUGCUUUUCUAAAUAAACAGAGAAGCUUUGUAAGACAGGAAUAUGUUUAGGCCUGGUAGGGCCAGGGCCAAGAGUUACCCUGUCUGAGUGGAGACACUGGGGUGGAGACCAAGGAGGUGAUCAAUGUGGACAGGAAACAGGUUACAUAGAGAAGGCUCAAGCACAUAAGUACAGUAAGUAUACUGAAAGCAAUGAAAGCCAAAUUUCUCUCUGUUACAGAAAGGACCAACCAAUAUGGAAAGAAAUAAUACUAAAAACAUUCAUGUAUGAGCUCAUGGAUUUUGAGAUUUUGAGAGCAAUACAUAUUGAAACAAAUAUAAAAUCAUGUAGAGAGAGAGAGGCUGAGGAGUAGAAGCAAUGAUAGCCCAGUGACAGGGAGCACUUCUAGCACCAAUAUCUUGAUUUCUAAAUAUCAUCCUUUACUAAAAAGAAACAGAGCUCCUUAGAGGGAUAGGUGAUUUCAAGGCUGGAUCAGGAAAAGCACAAGAUCACAAUACUUUGUUCACUGAAAAAUUUAAAAGCCCACAAAGAAUUAAAUGGACAAACCAAAAGGACAGAAGAGCUAUUUUUCAGGAAUUCUUAUUAGCUACACAUUUAGGAAAUCUUGGGCACUGAAAAAGGAAAUGACAGACAUGAAUGAAUGAAUGAAUGAAUGAAUUAAUUAAUACAAAAGAAAAUCUAUCAUUAAGAAAUCUAAAAGGUAUAAUAAAAUUAGAAAAAUCACCAUUUGGAAACAACAACAACAAUAAUAAUUGAUGAAGGCAAAAAUCAUCAAUGGAUUCUAAACUAGAGGAUAAAAUUUGAUGAGGAAUAAGUUAUUAACAUAGUCUCAUGAGAUAUUUAGUAAAUAUUAUAACUUACAACAGUUUUCUAAAUAUAAUAUAUCUAAAACAUAAUUUUAAAGUGGAAAAAUCUGGUAAAUGCUAAGGUGAAAAAGUUAAAUUUAUUUUUAAUGAGACAGUUGACAAAAUGUGUCCUCUGUCAUUUUUAAAAAUUUAUUUCUGUGGUAUUCUUGCUAAAAAUGGUUGAUACAACUCUGGUCAUGAAGAAACAUUAGGUAAACAUAGAAAAGGUAUCAUUCUACAAAAUAACUGUCAUAUACUCCUCAAAAAUAUUAAAGUCACAAAAGAGAAAAAAUAGAUGCUUUUCACACCGAGGAAGACCAGAGAAAUGUGGCCAACAAGUACACUGCCAAUUCUGGACUUAAUCCUGGGCUUAGAAAGGAUAUUAGAGGGACUAUUUGUUUGGAAUCUCUGUCAUAAAUAAUACUAUGGUAUUAAUAUUAAUUUCCUGAUUCUACUUGUUUUGCUAUACAUAUGUAAGAAAGUUUCUUUCAAAAAUAUAAAAUAAUUAAGAAGUAUCUUAUCUAUAAAUACUUUGAAAUUAUUCAGAAAUAUAUAUACUGAGAGAUAAAGAGAGUGAUAAAUGAGAAUGAGAAUUUAAAAUGUUAUAAUUGGGGAAUCUGGGUGAAAAUAUAUAUGGAAUUUCUUCAUAUAUUCUCCCAACUUUGCUGUAGGUUUGAAAUCACUUCAAAAUAAAGGUUUAAAAAAAUGA